CAUAUGAAGCCACGUGGGUUAUAAAGUGAUUUAUUCCUGGAGCGUGCCUGUUCGAGGUUCACUCCAAAUGAUGCAAUCAAGUUUAAAGGUGACCAGUGUGGGAAUUUUGAGGCUAUAAUUGGAAAGUGUUGUGCACUUUUCAGUUAUGAUGGUCAAGAUGAACUAUUUGUUGCCGCCUUUCAGUCCUUAUUUAAGCUUCGGUUUAUGCAGGGGAAGAUGGGAAGCAUGAACAACCUGCUGCCAACAGUUUUUUUUGUUGCGAUAAAUUUUUCUGUUGUAUAGAAAGUAUAUAUUUUCUACUUGGGUGAUACAAAUUUAGGAAAAUCACACCCU
This 333-nucleotide unclassified non-coding RNA is filed under the name Hevea brasiliensis (rubber tree). The record is from RNAcentral. Lineage: Eukaryota; Viridiplantae; Streptophyta; Magnoliopsida; Malpighiales; Euphorbiaceae.